RNAcentral lists this unclassified non-coding RNA (202 nucleotides) under Hevea brasiliensis (rubber tree). Lineage: Eukaryota; Viridiplantae; Streptophyta; Magnoliopsida; Malpighiales; Euphorbiaceae. The record is from RNAcentral.
UAGGAUCUUGCAUAAAUUUCUUGCAAACUGGGCGGAUUUCUUUGCUGAGUGUUGCAGAAAACAUCAUAACUUGCUUAUCAUGAGGAGUCAUCUUGAAGAUCUCCUGCACAUCCCUCCUCAUGUCAAGUGAUUCAAGCAUCUUGUCACAUUCAUCAAGAAUAAAGUGCCUCACAUUCUUCAAUGAAAGUUCCUUAUCUCUCGC